AGCGAACGUUAGCGGCGCGCCUAACACAUGCAAGUCGCACGAGAAAGGGAGCAAUCCCCGGUACAGUGGCGCACGGGUGAGUAACACGUAGAUGACCUUCCCUGGAGUGGUGGAUAACCUGCCGAAAGGCGGGCUAAUACAGCAUGGGACCACAUGGUUUUGACCGAGUGGUGAAAGCGGGCCUCUGUUCACAAGCUCGCGCUCUGGGAUGGGUCUGCGUCCCAUCAGCUAGUUGGUGAGGUAAUGGCUCACCAAGGCAUCGACGGGUAGCUGGUCUGAGAGGAUGACCAGCCACACUGGAACUGAGACACGGUCCAGACUCCUACGGGAGCAGCAGUGGGGAAUCUUGCGCAAUGGGCGAAAGCCUGACGCAGCGACGCCGCGUGGGUGAUGAAGGCCUCGG
Molecule: ribosomal RNA, 403 nt
Filed under: uncultured bacterium
Lineage: Bacteria
Description: bacterial SSU rRNA
Rfam family: Bacterial small subunit ribosomal RNA
Source: RNAcentral